UUGAUCUCUUCACUCUCUUUUUCUGAUGCCAAAGAAUCAAGCAAGUUGUUUGAUUCGAUUUUGGGUCAUGUAUUGAUAUGAGUUUCAUGCUUGGGUUUAGCUAAUUUUACUCAUGUCGUUGUCUUUCAGAUCUGUGCUGAUGGUUUCACGGUGACGUUCCCCAUCCCGCCGAUAGGUGAAAACCUCUCGCUCUCUGUUUUUGGUGAAGCCAUGGAACCUCUCUUUCUCUCUCUUUACGAAGCUUCCGGUGGUCUCCUCUCCGUUCUUCCUCUUUGCUUCACAGACCAAUGUUGGUGCUUCUCAGCUCAAAGACAACUCUUUGGUGGUGGAACAACGUCGAUUUCAAGGCGAGAGAAGCUAUGACGCAGCCAAGAUCGAGAAGCAGAUCUGAUGAAUUUCAUAGAAUCAAAGACUUAUUUAUAGGUAAAGAAAAAAGAAAGAAUGCAUUUAGUGAACAAAGUGGGAGGAGUGGGUCGGUUGUGUUAAACGCAACGUAAUGUUGACUAAAUCCCUGUGUCUUAUGAGUAACAUGAAUCGACAUCAGGAAUUGCUCCAAAAAAAAAAAGAAUCGACAUCAAGAUGGCAACGUCGCCCGAAAAAGAUGUAGCCAACAUGAGUCGGUUUAUUCAUUAAACCAAUUUGGACUUUCGUUUUAUCUAUUCUAUGGUCCAAUUCUAAAUAGAUAGUUAUUGUUGUGAGUGGCCCAACUCUAAAGAGAUUAUCACAAAGGUUUAAGGUCAACAUAGUAGCCCACAUACACAAAAUAUUUUCGUUUAAAAUUUCAUCAAACAAACCUCAAUCCCAUAGUUAUAACCCAUGUU
Brassica napus (rape) is the source of this 821-nucleotide long non-coding RNA. RefSeq lists it as uncharacterized. NCBI's taxonomy places the organism in Eukaryota, Viridiplantae, Streptophyta, Magnoliopsida, Brassicales, Brassicaceae. The record is from RefSeq and is a predicted model, not a curated record. The transcript is spliced from 2 exons.